UCGUAAGUCGUUGCCAGGCAAACGUGCCGGUAGCGGCGAGCUUCGUUCCUCCCGGAUGGAUGUUCGAAGUUUCACCAGAAAAAGGAA
Non-coding RNA from Pseudomonas caspiana, 87 nucleotides. The record is from Rfam. Lineage: Bacteria; Pseudomonadati; Pseudomonadota; Gammaproteobacteria; Pseudomonadales; Pseudomonadaceae.